This 480-nucleotide ribosomal RNA is filed under the name uncultured bacterium. Its description in RNAcentral is "partial 16S ribosomal RNA". It matches the Rfam family "Bacterial small subunit ribosomal RNA", at positions 28 to 507 of the family's 1533-position model. The record is from RNAcentral.
GACGAACGCUGGCGGCGUGCUUAACACAUGCAAGUCGAACGAUGAAGAAAAGAAUCGAAGCUUCGGCAGAAAUUCAUUUCGGAUUAGUGGCAGACGGGUGAGUAACGCGUGAGCAACCUACCUCUUACAAAGGGAUAGCCUCGGGAAACCGGGAUUAAUACCAUAUAACAUUGUGACGAAGCAUUUCGAUGCAAUCAAAGCUACGGCGGUAAGAGAUGGGCGCGCGUCCCAUUAACCGGAUGGUGAGGUAACGGCUCACCAUAGUGACGAUGGGUAACCGGCCUGAGAGGGUGAACGGUCACACUGGAACUGAGACACAGUCCAGACUCCUACGGGAGGCAGCAGUGGGGAAUAUUGCACAAUGGAGGGAACUCUGAUGCAGCGACGCCGCGUGAGUGAUGAAGGAAUUCGUGACGUAAAACUCUGUUCUAUGGGAAGAAAAGGACGGUACCAUAGGAGAAAGCUCCGGCUAAAUACGUG